CUAAGUGUCGCAGUUUUGGUGUGUUCACCCUUUAUUAUGUUUUCUAUUCAGCUUUAAUACAUUUUUUUAUAUAAUUCAUCUUAUAAUGUAAACCAUUACAAUAUAAGCUUCAAACUUUGUCCAAAAUUUAGGAAAAUUCGCCAGACUAGUGAAUUUUUUGGUUGCUAAAAAUGCCGUUGAUUUUUAGUAAUUCUUUUACGCAACUUGGGACAUUUUCACUAAUAAAUUUGUGACUCUCCUAUUUUUUAUUUUUUUAUUUUUACGUGCAAAAAUUGGUGCGUUGAUUGGUCAUAUUUGAGUGUUUAAGUGAGAAGUUGUCGGACCCGGCGCUCUUGCAGCAACUGGAAAAAAUAAGAUCAGAAGAUAAAAGGAUCUGACCAACUCAUAGCGCUACCACUACAUGUUUUGCUGCGUGCAACUAUAAAACGAAAAGCGAAUAGCGUCAAAAAGAUUUACAGGUCUACCAUCAAAGAUUCCCAGAUAUCAUUUCUCCUUCAUGUAAUUACGGCCAACGAUGUUGAAAACAGUUUAGAAAAGCUGAAGAGUUCUCUUUACGACCGCGGUGAGAGCUUACAACCAAUUGUUAUUGCAGUUGGUUAUAAUUUAAGUGACUCAAAAUUUUAUGUUUAUUUCGAUGAAAUCAAAUAUGAGCUGCCUUGUUUUUUAAGCGCCUUUGAUACCUGUUUUAAAGUGUUUCAUGUAUUGAAUUUAAAAUACUCUGGCUUAGAGUUUUGGAUGUUCGUUCAAAAAUAUUUUUAUUGUAUACAUUUAAAAGACGACAAGCCAUCUCCUAAUGUACUAUGUUUAAUUAACAACCUAAAAUAAUGGGUUUAUAAGCCUUAAUUAUUAUAUUAUUUCAAUAUGGUUUCAUGCUUUUUGUGUAAAUACCAUUGUUAACAUUUUCAAACGAUUUUUUUUUGAAACAAUUGUUCUUAAGUUUUUUAACUAAUCUGCACGACAAAUCAAAUUUUACCAGAAAAGACAUAGAUGUACUUGUGAAUGAUUUAACGCAACUAAUAUUUUUACCGCCAGCCAGCGACCUUUGUGGAGAAAGAUUUAUUGAAGAACGAACAGGAAAUAGAUAUGCAGAAUAUAAGGAGUCUCAUUUUAUUUUUCAAAGAUCCAUUUUAUAAAAUUAAAACUUUUCAUAAAUUUGUAAAAGUUCUUAAAGAAAAUGAUGCUUGGGAAGCUGCUAAAGAAUUCGAAAUCGUUAAUAGGGUACUACCCGUAAUUUUAAAUAAUGAAAUAGUUUUUACAGAAAAACAAAGCAAAGUUACUCUCAUGCCAAUAAAAUUUCAGAUAAAAGGUUUUUCGAACUACCUAACAUUUUAAAAGAUACUUUAUGUAAUACUUAUGAAAGUGAGGGAAAAUUGGACAGAAUUUGAUGACAAUCUUUUAAACGAAAUGCAGGAGAAAAUCGAAAAACACCAUAAGCUUCGAACUUUUCGGAACUACACUAAAACCAAAAUUUCAUUUGUGAUUCACUAUCCCACGUUUAUAAAAAACGUUGGACCAUUAAAGAAUCUCUGGUGCUUUAAAUUUGAAUCUAAA
Molecule: long non-coding RNA, 1551 nt
Organism: Rhagoletis zephyria (snowberry fruit fly)
Lineage: Eukaryota; Metazoa; Arthropoda; Insecta; Diptera; Tephritidae
Source: RefSeq, a predicted model, not a curated record